This 414-nucleotide long non-coding RNA is filed under the name Pan troglodytes (chimpanzee). RNAcentral's name for it is "lincRNA". The record is from RNAcentral. Lineage: Eukaryota; Metazoa; Chordata; Mammalia; Primates; Hominidae.
GCGGGCGCCCCUCCCCCAGCCUCGCUGCCGCCUUGCAGUUUGAUCUCAGACUGCUGUGCUAGCAAUCAGCGAGACUCCGUGGGCGUAGGACCCUCCGAGCCAGGUGUGGGAUUUAAUCUCGUGGUGCGCCGUUUUUUAAGCCGGUCGGAAAAGUGCAGUAUUCGGGUGGGAGUGAUCCGAUUUUCCAGAAUGUCUCUCUGGCUUCCUCUCCCUCUCAGAGACCCAAUUUGGAACUGAAACCCUGAGUACAGCAAAACUGCAUUUCCCAAGCUCCUCUUCUCUCAAUGGGUCACAUGACUUGUUCUAGCCAAUAGAACGAGGGUGGAACUAAUGUGACCACUUUCAGGUGGCCCCUAAAGUCUCCUGUGAGAUCUUCCAAUCUUGCUCUCCUCACUCUGCAUGGCUGGAAAUGAA